UAUGACGGAUUUGCAAGAUCUGU
This 23-nucleotide microRNA is filed under the name Pristionchus pacificus. RNAcentral's name for it is "ppc-miR-8327-3p". The record is from miRBase by way of RNAcentral. Lineage: Eukaryota; Metazoa; Nematoda; Chromadorea; Rhabditida; Neodiplogasteridae.